GCCGGAGAUUCCAUUUUGUUUUCACCUCCCCCUCCAUUUAUCAACACCAUCUCAGUUUUAGCACGUCUCCUCUUUGUAAGCUUGAGUGCAACAUGGGGUGCUUGCUGAUUGUUAGAUGAUUGUGUUCUGGCUGUCGGGUCUUCAACACUGUUAACCAUAUUGUUAAUACCCUGGGGCGCGUCACCCCCUUCUUCAUGCCCGUCAGCCUGUACUUCUUGUUGAGCGUCAAGCUGCUUCUGUUUCUUCUUUUUAUGCUUUCUUUUAGGCUCCCCAUCUCCUGCACUUGUUGUUGCUGAGCCUCUGUGUGGUUUGUUGACUU
This 319-nucleotide long non-coding RNA is filed under the name Helianthus annuus (common sunflower). RNAcentral describes it as "sRNA HanXRQr2_Chr07g0289881". The record is from RNAcentral. Lineage: Eukaryota; Viridiplantae; Streptophyta; Magnoliopsida; Asterales; Asteraceae.